Long non-coding RNA from Rattus rattus (black rat), 307 nucleotides. RefSeq lists it as uncharacterized. Lineage: Eukaryota; Metazoa; Chordata; Mammalia; Rodentia; Muridae. The record is from RefSeq and is a predicted model, not a curated record. The transcript has 2 exons.
GUGCACGAGGUCAUCCGCUUAAAUUGAGUUAUAUUUUUUUCCACCCAGAAAGUGAAAUACACGGCCCCCAGCGACUGGACGAAAGCACGCAGUAACUCCUUUCUCCCGAGGAGAGUUUCAAGUGACUUCAGCUUGGGUGACCCAGGUCAUUUGACUGGAAUAUUGGUCCGUGUGCACUGAAUGAGAAUCUGGCCCUACUCAUGGUACCCGGACCUGUUGGGUUUGACUCUUGAUUUGCUUCUUUGAGUGUUGACUGGCUGAGGACUGCUGUGUGUGGUGGCUGUAAAUAAAUGGAGCUUGACCUCUC